Molecule: long non-coding RNA, 503 nt
Filed under: Phoenix dactylifera (date palm)
Lineage: Eukaryota; Viridiplantae; Streptophyta; Magnoliopsida; Arecales; Arecaceae
Description: long non-coding RNA (PDAC_LNC000329)
Source: RNAcentral
UGCCUAUGAUGGGGCAAUCAAUACUGUCACUUUUUUUGUUAUGAUGGGGCAAUUGACAGUGUCAUAUUUUUCUCUUACAAUGGGGCAAUAAAUAGUGUCACAUUUCAGCCAUGAUAGACAAAUCGUAUUAAUAUGGAUAUUCCAAAAUAUUCGCCCACCUGUUCAUUCAAGAAUACGUAUUAAAUAAAUUAAGUUAUUUUUGACUUUGGACUAACCAUGAUCAUAUCUUUUGCUUGUGAUGUGGCAAUCAAUAAUAAUGUAUCUAGUCCAAAUCACUAUACCUACAAUUUAAUUUUGCAAGUCUCAAUCUUAUUAAUUGAAUACAUCCAUCAUGCUUAUAUGAUAAAAUCCAAAAAUAUUGUAUUUUCUAUGUACAUUCAAGUUAAUUUAUUUACUACAACAUGCAUGUACAUAUUAGAAUUAUGCAUUUAUAUAAGCAAGCAUGAAAAGAGGGAUUCCUACCUCUAGCAGGCAAUAGAACUCAAAUUAAGAUAUGCCCAUCA